RNAcentral lists this long non-coding RNA (722 nucleotides) under Gopherus agassizii (Agassiz's desert tortoise). RNAcentral describes it as "lncRNA (ENSGAGG00000003884.1)". Lineage: Eukaryota; Metazoa; Chordata; Testudines; Testudinidae. The record is from RNAcentral.
CGUAAACAGCGGAGAGAAAGCAGCAGAUCCGGUCACUGCCUUCCCCAGCCCUUUCGGCUCCUUGCAAAGAGCGAGACUCUUCCAUCGAGUGUUUCACUCCAAGCCCAGCACUUCCCAACUCCUGCAGCUCUGGCGCCCUGAAGGUCAGUGCAGCGCUGGGAUCAUGGCUGGAGAGCGGCAGCGACGCUUGCGAGGGGGAUGGCAUGUGCCCGCCUGUUUCUGACCUGGAGCAGCCAGGGGCAGGCCCUGGGGACCUACAGAGGCUGCAGGAUGCCAGCACGGCCGUCCUGGAAAGGCUCAUGGAGCUGGAGGCUGAAGUCAAGUACAUCAGCACUGAGCUGCGGGCAGAGAAAUUACUGUGGAGCAGCAGGUACCUGGAGCUGCUGAGGGAGCAGCAGGAGCUCCAUCAACAGUUCCAGGAGUGGGGACGGAGCCAGGGGCCCAAGGCCAAGGACAUGCAGAGCAAAGCCGAGGCUCCUAGUCUGGAUGGAACUGAUGGGUGGUGCAUGGGAGACAGUGGCCUCCGGAUGCCGCCAGCACCUGGCUGCCCAGGGCCCAGCCACACCCUGGUACCCGGGCAGCCGUGCCAUGUUCACCACGGGCCAUGCACCUCGGGCACAGAACCAAGGUCCUGCUGCAGUCAGGCGGGAUUGGUGUGGGCACCAUCCGGUACCUGGGGGUCUUCCCCGACCAGGCCGAGUUCUCCGUGGGAGUGGAGCUAG